RNAcentral lists this ribosomal RNA (442 nucleotides) under uncultured bacterium. Its description in RNAcentral is "partial 16S ribosomal RNA". It matches the Rfam family "Bacterial small subunit ribosomal RNA", at positions 338 to 795 of the family's 1533-position model. The record is from RNAcentral.
CCUACGGGAGGCAGCAGUGGGGAAUAUUGGUCAAUGGGCGCAAGCCUGACCCAGCAACGCCGCGUGAAGGAAGAAGGCUUUCGGGUUGUCAACUUCUUUUAAGAGGGGAGAGCAGAAGACGGUACCUCUUGAAUAAGCCACGGCUAACUACGUUCCAGCAGCCGCGGUAAUAAGGAGGUGGCAAGCGUUUUCCGGAUUUACUGGGGGUAAAGGGCGUGCAGCGGGGAAGACAAGUCAGAUGUGAAAUCCCGCGGCGCAACCGCGGAACUGCAGUUGAAACUGUUUUUCUUGAGUAGCGGAGAGGUAAGCGGAAUGCCUGGUGUAGCGGUGAAAUGCGUAGAUAUAAGGAAGAACACCAGUGGCGAAGGCGGAUGACCGGACGGCAACUGACGGUGAGGCGCGAAAGCGUGGGGAGCAAACAGGAUUAGAUACCCGAGUAGUC